RNAcentral lists this transfer RNA (73 nucleotides) under Kytococcus sp. HMSC28H12. It matches the Rfam family "tRNA". From Rfam's summary of the family: Transfer RNA (tRNA) molecules are approximately 80 nucleotides in length. Their secondary structure includes four short double-helical elements and three loops (D, anti-codon, and T loops). Further hydrogen bonds mediate the characteristic L-shaped molecular structure. tRNAs have two regions of fundamental functional importance: the anti-codon, which is responsible for specific mRNA codon recognition, and the 3' end, to which the tRNAs corresponding amino acid is attached (by aminoacyl-tRNA synthetases). tRNAs cope with the degeneracy of the genetic code in two manners: having more than one tRNA (with a specific anti-codon) for a particular amino acid; and 'wobble' base-pairing, i.e. permitting non-standard base-pairing at the 3rd anti-codon position. The record is from Rfam by way of RNAcentral. Lineage: Bacteria; Bacillati; Actinomycetota; Actinomycetes; Micrococcales; Kytococcaceae.
GCCCCUGUAGCUCAGUUGGUAGAGCAGCUGCCUUGUAAACAGCAGGUCGCGGGUUCGACUCCUGUCGGGGGCU